This is a long non-coding RNA of Oryzias melastigma (Indian medaka), 1778 nucleotides long. RefSeq lists it as uncharacterized. The transcript is spliced from 4 exons. The record is from RefSeq and is a predicted model, not a curated record. Lineage: Eukaryota; Metazoa; Chordata; Actinopteri; Beloniformes; Adrianichthyidae.
GGUGACGGAAAAGUCCUGCUGAUAAGAUUUCCAGACGUUUUUUCAGGAAAAGCAGGCCUCCUUAUUGGGCCCUACGUUGUGAACAGGACUGACUCACCACUUCCUGCCAGUUUCCCCGUCAGCUGAUGGUCCAGCAUCCGCUCUGGAAACUCCUGCAGAAGUAUCCUGACUCCUCUGGAAAACCAGAGGAGAUCCGUCUGAAGGUCUGGUCGACCCAUUGUCAGCAUCACCUCUCUGUCCUGCAGGAUCCGAGUGCAGGAAACCCAAAAGGGAAGAAGAUCUGACAGCGUUCUGCUGGAAACCACUAAACGGUUCCUUAUGCAGCCGCUCGAUGAGGAGCAGAGGAUUCUGGGAAACAAUCACACAUGGAACGUCGUGACCUCAGAAGAACCGAUCGGCGCCGUCCGGCGUGACGGCGUUCCAACAGCAGCAUCCAAACAUUUAAAACAGCCACGGUUUAUAUCAGACUUCAAGACAAACCAGAAGAUUAUGCAGAUCGGACCAGAUCUGAUUAGACUAGAUACGUUUAGAUCAGAUCAGUUUAAUCUAGAUCAGAUCAGGUUAAAUCAGAUCAGUUUGGUCUCAAUCAGAUCAUCUUAGUCUAAAUCAGAUCAGAUUAGUCUAGAUCAGAUUAGAUUGGUCCAGAUCAAGUUAGAUCAGAUCAGAUUGGUCUUAAUCAGAUCAGAUUACUCUAAAUCAGAUUAGAUUGGACUAGAUUAUAAUAGUCUAGAUCAUAUCAGUUCAGUUUAGAUAAGAUCAUAUUAGUGUAGAUCAGAUCAGGCCAGGUGAGAUCAGAUCAGAUUGGUCUAAAACAGAUAAGAUUACUCUAGAUCAAAUCAGAUUAGGUGAGAUCAGAUUAAUCUAGAUUAGUUUAGAUCAAAUCAGAUUAGAUCAGAUCAGAUAUAUCAAGAUUAAAUCAGAUCUGAUUGGACUAGAUACAAUCAGAUUAAUCUAGAUCAAAUUAAAAUAUAUCUUUUUAGAUCAGAUUAGAUUAGUCUAGAUCAGUUCAGAUUGGACCAGAAAAAUUCAAAUCAGGUUCAUCUAGAUCAGAUCAGAUUUGACUGGAUCAGAUUAGAUUAGGUGGGAUCAGAUUAAUCUAGAGUAGAUCAGAUCAGAUUAGUCUACAUCAAAUCAGAUUAGUCUAGAUCAGAUCAGAUUGGACUAAAUCAAAUCAAAUUAGAUUAGAUCAGAUCAGAUCAGAUCACACUGGACUAGAUCAGAUCAGAUUAGUCCAGAUCAGAUCAGAUCUGUUUGUGUUUCUUCACAGCUUGGUCUUCGGUCCUUCUGAUCUCCAGCAGGUUGGAACAGAUUUGUGGUGAAGUUUUCUUAACUUCUGGAUUCCACAUGUGUGAUUCGGCGGUGAGAAGAUGUGAGAACGACGUUUGUUACACAACGACGAUGAUCAUCAGAACAUGCUGGCCUGCUGGGAACUGGGUGUGGACAGAAGACACUUUCAUGCAGACGUUGCACAACAAACAUUUAGCAGAAGUUCAUCUUUGUGCAGAUUCCACCCACCAGCUCCUUCAGACCCCCGGGGGGAAGAAUUCCUCACAUGUUUAAUGAUUCUACCAUCUCUGCAGACGCGUCUGCAGGGUGGUGCAGAUACGUCUACUCAUGCGCAGUGAUGUGGGGGUGGGCGGGUCUUAAACCUCGUCAGCUGUGUGAUAAUAAAACCCUUUGAACAACAGUAACAUUCUUCUUUCUCUCUGAGACUUUGAACAACAUUUUGAGCCCAACAUCUACUCAGAACUCAGCAGAGUUUGAACACGAGAACUCGA